This 403-nucleotide ribosomal RNA is filed under the name uncultured bacterium. RNAcentral's name for it is "partial 16S ribosomal RNA". It matches the Rfam family "Bacterial small subunit ribosomal RNA", at positions 28 to 526 of the family's 1533-position model. The record is from RNAcentral.
GACGAACGCUGGCGGCGUGCCUAAUACAUGCAAGUCGAAAGCAGUGGGGACGGGUGAGUAACACGUGGGUAACCUCCCAUCAGAGGGGAUAACACUUGGAAACAGGUGCUAAACCGAUACUGAUGGAUGGACCCGCGGUGCAUGAGCUCAUUGGUGAGGUAACGGCUCACCAAGGCCACGAGGCAUAGCCGACCUGAGAGGGGAAUCGGCUACACUGGGACUGAGACACGGCCCAGACUCCUACGGGAGGCAGCAGUAGGGAAUCUUCGGCAAUGGACGAAAGUCUGACCGAGCAACGCCGCGUGAGUGAAGAAGGUUUGCGGAUUGUAAAACUCUGUUAUUAGAGAAGCGGUAUCUAACCAGAAAGCCACGGCUAACUACGUGCCAGCCGCCGCGGUAAUAC